Molecule: ribosomal RNA, 248 nt
Filed under: uncultured Erysipelotrichaceae bacterium
Lineage: Bacteria; Bacillati; Bacillota; Erysipelotrichia; Erysipelotrichales; Erysipelotrichaceae
Description: partial 16S ribosomal RNA
Rfam family: Bacterial small subunit ribosomal RNA
Source: RNAcentral
UACGUAGGUGGCGAGCGUUAUCCGGAAUGAUUGGGCGUAAAGGGUGCGCAGGCGGUUGUAUCAGUCUGAAGUAAAAGGCAUCGGCUUAACCGGUGUAAGCUUUGGAAACUGUAUAACUAGAGUGCAGGAGAGGGCAGUGGAAUUCCAUGUGUAGCGGUAAAAUGCGUAGAUAUAUGGAGGAACACCAGUGGCGAAGGCGGCUGCCUGGCCUGUAACUGACGCUGAGGCACGAAAGCGUGGGGAGCAAA